GGCCUCAUGGUCAAGAGGUUAAGACGUUGCCCUCUCAAGGCAAAAUCAGGGGUUCAAUUCCCCUUGGGGCUACCA
Molecule: transfer RNA, 75 nt
Filed under: Clostridia bacterium
Lineage: Bacteria; Bacillati; Bacillota; Clostridia
Description: tRNA-Glu
Rfam family: tRNA
About the family: Transfer RNA (tRNA) molecules are approximately 80 nucleotides in length. Their secondary structure includes four short double-helical elements and three loops (D, anti-codon, and T loops). Further hydrogen bonds mediate the characteristic L-shaped molecular structure. tRNAs have two regions of fundamental functional importance: the anti-codon, which is responsible for specific mRNA codon recognition, and the 3' end, to which the tRNAs corresponding amino acid is attached (by aminoacyl-tRNA synthetases). tRNAs cope with the degeneracy of the genetic code in two manners: having more than one tRNA (with a specific anti-codon) for a particular amino acid; and 'wobble' base-pairing, i.e. permitting non-standard base-pairing at the 3rd anti-codon position.
Source: RNAcentral